AUAGUUGUUUUAUCUGUGCUAUUGGGGGAUAAAAACGAGCAGCUCCUAAUUGUUAAAGUUAGAUCAAAUAAGAUCACCAUAUCAAACAUUUAUCACUUGUUGAUAUCCACGCCUCGGUAGGACGCAGAGACGAGGUUACAGCGCUGCCCCUGUCAUCUGAGACUGGAGUCCCAGUUGGUGAUGGCUGAUUGGUGUGGGCUGUACCUGAAUGAAAGAGGAGAGAAACAGAUGGAUGUGAGAGAGUCCAGACACAGAGGUAUCAGCGUCACGCAGUCAGAAACUGGAUGCUGAUGAAGGACUAGAGGAUGACUCUAACACAACACAAUACAGUGACAGGAGGAAUGGAACAGAGGAGACACAAACAGUCCAACUGGGAAGAUGAUGUCGUUACCCAAGAGAAAUGGACUCAUGUACAACCUAACCCAGGACAGAUGUGAAGGUUU
Molecule: long non-coding RNA, 443 nt
Organism: Pygocentrus nattereri (red-bellied piranha)
Lineage: Eukaryota; Metazoa; Chordata; Actinopteri; Characiformes; Serrasalmidae
Exons: 4
Source: RefSeq, a predicted model, not a curated record